GCGCCGCUAGCUCAGUUGGUUAGAGCAGCUGACUCUUAAUCAGCGGGUCCGGGG
Molecule: transfer RNA, 54 nt
Filed under: Lentzea aerocolonigenes
Lineage: Bacteria; Bacillati; Actinomycetota; Actinomycetes; Pseudonocardiales; Pseudonocardiaceae
Description: Lechevalieria aerocolonigenes tRNA
Rfam family: tRNA
About the family: Transfer RNA (tRNA) molecules are approximately 80 nucleotides in length.
Source: Rfam by way of RNAcentral